UUGUAGUACAACUUACUCGGUAUCACCUAGAUAAAUCACUUUCUUGCAUAAGCUUCUCAGAAUGCAAAUCAAACAAAACCCAUGUCUGCACUUUCUAGAUGUUACACUUCCUUGGUCUACUUAACCUCCGACCAAAUAAGGCCUAAGACCCUACCCAUUUUAAUCAUAUAUAGAUUGAGCUCUCAGCAGAAACUCAAAUUUUAUGAAGCACCCACCCAUAGAUGCAGGCCUUAUCAUUCACCUACACUUACACUUCUGCAAAAAUGGUUGAUUUACGAUUUUAUUUUUUUCCAUCAUAAUGCUUUAUCUGAACACUUAACUAGUCACAUCACCAAUCCAUCAUGCACACUGGGUUAUAUAUUCAAAAUCCAUAAAAAGUAACAUUAAACAUUACCAAAUUAAUUAACUAUAGCUCCCAAUACCAGAAAAUUCAAAAUAUGCUUCCUCAAUCCAGGUCAAAAGCUUUCAAGUAUACUUUCCUACUUCCAAAGCAUAUCAAAUGAUUACCAUCGUUUAAAUAGAACAGGAAAACACAAGGUCUUUCAGAUGACAUGGAUGUGCAACUAAGGUACUUCCAGUCAUUGGGACACACUUCUAGGGCGACUCGCUGCCUCUUGGGGA
RNAcentral lists this unclassified non-coding RNA (621 nucleotides) under Hevea brasiliensis (rubber tree). The record is from RNAcentral. Lineage: Eukaryota; Viridiplantae; Streptophyta; Magnoliopsida; Malpighiales; Euphorbiaceae.